This 253-nucleotide ribosomal RNA is filed under the name uncultured bacterium. RNAcentral's name for it is "partial 16S ribosomal RNA". It matches the Rfam family "Bacterial small subunit ribosomal RNA", at positions 524 to 776 of the family's 1533-position model. The record is from RNAcentral.
UACGUAGGUGGCAAGCGUUGUCCGGAUUUACUGGGCGUAAAGCGUGCGCAGGCGGCUUACUAAGACAGGUGUGAAAGCCCCGAGCUUAACUUGGGAAUGGCGCUUGUGACUGGUAGGCUGGAGUGUGGCAGAGGGAGGUGGAAUUCCACGUGUAGCAGUGAAAUGCGUAGAGAUGUGGAGGAACACCGAUGGCGAGGGCAGCCUCCUGGGCCAGCACUGACGCUCAUGCACGAAAGCGUGGGGAGCAAACAGG